GACAGAGGAGGCGAGCGUUAUCCGGAGUCAUUGGGCGUAAAGGGUACGUAGGCGGCUAGUCAAGUCUGAGGUUAAAGACCACAGCUUAACUGUGGAAAGGCCUUGGAACCUGACUGGCUAGAGUGGGGCAGGGGUUGCGGGAAUUCCCGGUGUAGCGGUGAAAUGCGUAGAUAUCGGGAAGAACACCUGAGGCGAAAGCGCGCAACUGGGCCCUGACUGACGCUGAGGUACGAAAGCUAGGGGAGCGAAUGGG
This 253-nucleotide ribosomal RNA is filed under the name uncultured bacterium. Its description in RNAcentral is "partial 16S ribosomal RNA". It matches the Rfam family "Bacterial small subunit ribosomal RNA", at positions 524 to 776 of the family's 1533-position model. The record is from RNAcentral.